AAUCAUCAGGUGGUGAAGCCAGCCUGACUUGUGUCCUUCCCUUCAUGGUGGUAAUUAUCCAGUUGAUAUUUAUCUUGUUCCAGUCACCUUAAGAAAGCUGUUUGCUCUCAAAUCUCCAGGCAGCCUCUAUUGAUUGAUCUGAGUUGGCAGAUGAGUUGGCAGGUUUUGGAAAUCACUAGUGGGUAAAAAAGACCAAUUUGCAACUAGGCUCUCAUGCUCUAUUGAAAACUAUGUCACAAUAUCACAAUACUAGAUGCUGGGCUCAAGAGAGCAAACAGAAAGCAGCAAGGGCAGUGACUGGAAGCUGGGAGAGAGGGUCAACAGCUGAAUCUCAGCCUGAUGGAGGCCAC
This 350-nucleotide non-coding RNA is filed under the name Pan troglodytes (chimpanzee). The record is from RNAcentral. Lineage: Eukaryota; Metazoa; Chordata; Mammalia; Primates; Hominidae.